RNAcentral lists this ribosomal RNA (497 nucleotides) under uncultured bacterium. RNAcentral describes it as "partial 16S ribosomal RNA". It matches the Rfam family "Bacterial small subunit ribosomal RNA", at positions 28 to 507 of the family's 1533-position model. The record is from RNAcentral.
GAUGAACGCUGGCGGCGUGCCUAAUACAUGCAAGUCGAGCGAACAGACGAGGAGCUUUCUCCUCUGACUUUAUCAGCGGACGGGUGAGUAACACAUGGAUAACCUAACUCUACGACUGGGAUAACUUCGGGAAACCGUGGCUAAUACCGGAUAAUAUAUUGAACCUCAUUGGUCAAUAGUGAAAUACGGUUUUGCUUUCACUUAUAGAUUGAUCAGGGCCGCAUUCGCUAGUUGGUAAGGUAGCGGCUUACCAACGCAACGAUGCGAAGACGACCUGAAAGGGAGAAUGCACAGACUGGCAGAGAGAAUGGGUCGAGACUCUUGCGGGGAGAAGCGGUAGGGACUCUUCCGGGAUGCAGGAAUGCCGAAUGGAGCAACGCCGCGUGAGUGAUGAAGGAGUUCGGCUGGUAAAGCGAUGUAGUUAGGGAAGAAGUAAUGUGUAAGUAACUAUGAACGUCUUGACGGUACCUAGAGAGAAAGCCACGGCUAACUACGUG